RNAcentral lists this ribosomal RNA (161 nucleotides) under Trymalium x ramosissimum. RNAcentral describes it as "5.8S ribosomal RNA". It matches the Rfam family "5.8S ribosomal RNA". Rfam says of the family: 5.8S ribosomal RNA (5.8S rRNA) is a component of the large subunit of the eukaryotic ribosome. Lineage: Eukaryota; Viridiplantae; Streptophyta; Magnoliopsida; Rosales; Rhamnaceae. The record is from RNAcentral.
AAAACGACUCUCGGCAACGGAUAUCUCGGCUCUCGCAUCGAUGAAAAACGUAGCGAAAUGCGAUACUUGGUGUGAAUUGCAGAAUCCCGUGAACCAUCAAGUCUUUGAACGCAAGUUGCGCCCGAAGCCAUUAGGCCGAGGGCACGUCUGCCUGGGCGUCA